ACCUAGUCCCACCACACCCCCAAGGGUAUUCAGCAGUGAUAGGUAUUGUCUAUAAGCGCUAGCUUGACCCAGUUAUAGAGAAGAGAGCCGGCCAACUUGGUGCCAGCCGCCGCGGCUAGACCAACUGGACUCAAAUUGAUAAUCCCCGGCGUUAAGCGUGAUUAAAGCCAUGAACAAAUUAGAGUUAAACCUACGUUGAGCAGUGAAAAGCACACGAUAGGGAAAUCCAAAAACGAAAGUUAUUCUAAUCCUUGCUUGAAUACACGACAGCUAGGACACAAACUGGGAUUAGAUACCCCACUAUGCCUAGCCGUAAACUAUUAACCUACACCCACCCGCGCCAGGGAACUACGAGCUUUAGCUUAAAACCCAAAGGACUUGACGGUGUCCCACCCAACUAGAGGAGCCUGUUCUAUAAUCGAUGACCCCCGCUCCACCCAACCCCCCCUUGCUUUAUCAGCCUGUAUACCUCCGUCGUAAACCCGCCGUAUGAAUGUACCCAAGCGGAUUUAAUGGUCCCACACCAACACGUCAGGUCAAGGUGCAGCCAAUGGGAGAGGUAAGUGAUGGGCUACAAUUUCUAAUCUAGAACAAACGAAAUUCUGCAUGAAACACAGUUAUGAAGGAGGAUUUAGUAGUAAAAAGAAAGUAGCGUGUUCUUUUUAACAUGGCCCUGGGACGUGUACACA
This 689-nucleotide ribosomal RNA is filed under the name Hoplobatrachus tigerinus (Indus valley bullfrog). Its description in RNAcentral is "partial 12S rRNA". It matches the Rfam family "Bacterial small subunit ribosomal RNA", at positions 386 to 1389 of the family's 1533-position model. The record is from RNAcentral. Lineage: Eukaryota; Metazoa; Chordata; Amphibia; Anura; Dicroglossidae.